AAGUGGCGUUCACGACCAACACGGAGGAGGAGAAGACCGAAGCUAUAAAGCAGAUGUUCCAGGCUCUCAAGGAAUGCUAGCUCCAAGGGGAAGCCCUUCUCCGGCGGUGAUAGCGUUCACGCACCCACGAUGACACGACACAUAUGAUCGUUGUUCGUCAAGCUGAGUCGGAUAACCACUCCAUACUCAAUCCUUUGUAGGUGAGACUCAAAGUAAUCCUUUGUAGGUGAGACUCAAAGUUGAAAGUAAGGAGUGGUAAAAUACAUUGUUUUUAAGGCGGUAAGGCAAGGCAAGGCAGCGGGCGGGUUGGGGGCGCUAAGCACUGUGGGUGUUUCUGUAGAAUAUCUCAUGUAUGCAAUAUUGUACUGAAUAAGGAAGAUGGAAUGAUCUCCGAUUAUAAACUCUUUUU
RNAcentral lists this long non-coding RNA (409 nucleotides) under Hordeum vulgare. RNAcentral describes it as "long non-coding RNA (HVUL_LNC000036)". The record is from RNAcentral. Lineage: Eukaryota; Viridiplantae; Streptophyta; Magnoliopsida; Poales; Poaceae.